AUGCUCCGCCUCCGGAGCUGCAUCGUCUCCCACCUCCUCUCCUCUCCGGCCGCCUUCCGUGUCUCUUCGCCCCACCGCCUCCUCUCCGCCGCCGCGGCCCCCAUUUCCCCGAGCCAGCGCUUCGCCGUGGAGGACUACCUCGUCUCCACCUGCGGCCUCACCCGAGCCCAGGCGCUCAAGGCCUCCACGAAGCUCUCCCACCUCAAGUCCCCCGCCAACCCCGACGCCGUGCUCGCCUUCCUCGCCGGCCUCGGCCUCUCCGGCGCCGACAUCGCCGCCGCCGUCGCCAAGGACCCGCGGCUGCUCUGCGCGGGCGUGGACAGGACCCUGGCCUCCAACGUCGUCGGGCUCACCGGCCUCGGCCUGUCCGGCUCCGACGUCGCGCUCCUCGCCACCAUCGCCGGCGAGCCCUUCCGGUUCAAGUCCGUCGUCCCCAAGCUGCAGUACUACCUGCCCCUCUUCGGCUCCUCCGAGAACUUCCUCCGGGCCCUCAGGAAGAGCUCCCACCUGCUCACGUCCAACCGCGACAGGGUCGUCGAGCCCAACGUCGCGCUCCUGCGGGAGUGCGGGCUAGCUGCUUGCGAUAUUGCCAAGCUGUGUAUGGUCGUGCCAAGGAUCCUCACCGCAAAUCCAGAGCUUGUCCGGGAGAUGGUGGCAUGCGCUGAAGCUCUAGGCGUGCCCCGCGGCUCUGGGAUGUUUAGGCAAGCGCUGCAGGCUGUCUCGUUCAAAAGCAAGGAGAAGAUCGCCGCCAAAGCGAGCUACUUGAAGAAGAUAUUCAGGUGGUCUGAUGCUCAAGUGAGCCAUGCUGUGUGUAAGGCUCCGAUUGUGCUGAGGAAGUCAAACAGCUCGCUGCAGCAAAGGUCCGAGUUCUUCCUCUCCGAGAUGGGGCUGGAACCGGCGUACGUUGCUCAUCGCCCGGCAUUGCUCUCUUACAGCAUGGAGGGCCGACUCAGGCCCAGGUACUAUGUUAUCAAGUUCCUUAAGGCAAAUGGAUUGCUAGGUCAGUACCGGGACUACUAUAAUAUAGUCAUGCUGAGCGACAAAGUAUUUAUGGAGAGGUUCAUAUGCCCUCACAAGAAGGCUGCACCACACCUCGCUAAAGACUAUGCAACUGCUUGCAAAGGGGAAGUGCCAGCUAAUUUCAGAUUUACAUGA
Molecule: ribosomal RNA, 1155 nt
Filed under: Triticum aestivum (bread wheat)
Lineage: Eukaryota; Viridiplantae; Streptophyta; Magnoliopsida; Poales; Poaceae
Description: partial small subunit ribosomal RNA
Source: RNAcentral